CGUAACAAGGUCUCCGUUGGUGAACCAGCGGAGGGAUCAUUACCGAGUUUACAACUCCCAAACCCCUGUGAACAUACCUAUACGUUGCCUCGGCGGAUCAGCCCGCGCCCUGUAAAAAGGGACGGCCCGCCCGAGGACCCUAAACUCUGUUUUUAGUGGAACUUCUGAGUAAAACAAACAAAUAAAUCAAAACUUUCAACAACGGAUCUCUUGGUUCUGGCAUCGAUGAAGAACGCAGCAAAAUGCGAUAAGUAAUGUGAAUUGCAGAAUUCAGUGAAUCAUCGAAUCUUUGAACGCACAUUGCGCCCGCCAGUAUUCUGGCGGGCAUGCCUGUUCGAGCGUCAUUUCAACCCUCAAGCUCAGCUUGGUGUUGGGACUCGCGGUAACCCGCGUUCCCCAAAUCGAUUGGCGGUCACGUCGAGCUUCCAUAGCGUAGUAAUCAUACACCUCGUUACUGGUAAUCGUCGCGGCCACGCCGUAAAACCCCAACUUCUGAAUGUUGACCUCGGAUCAGGUAGGAAUACCCGCUGAACUUAAGCAUAUCAA
RNAcentral lists this ribosomal RNA (546 nucleotides) under Fusarium sp. L52 ZW-2013. Its description in RNAcentral is "eukaryotic LSU rRNA". The stretch from base 191 to 344 matches the Rfam family "5.8S ribosomal RNA". The record is from RNAcentral. Lineage: Eukaryota; Fungi; Ascomycota; Sordariomycetes; Hypocreales; Nectriaceae.